AACGAACGCUGGCGGCAGGCUUAACACAUGCAAGUCGAGCGCCCCGCAAGGGGAGCGGCAGACGGGUGAGUAACGCGUGGGAACGUACCUUUUGGUUCGGAACAACUCCGGGAAACUGGAGCUAAUACCGGAUAAGCCCUAACGGGGAAAGAUUUAUCGCCGAAAGAUCGGCCCGCGUCUGAUUAGCGAGUUGGUGAGGUAACGGCUCACCAAGGCGACGAUCAGUAGCUGGUCUGAGAGGAUGAGCAGCCACACUGGGACUGAGACACGGCCCAGACUCCUACGGGAGGCAGCAGUGGGGAAUAUUGGACAAUGGGCGCAAGCCUGAUCCAGCCAUGCCGCGUGAGUGAUGAAGGCCUUAGGGUUGUAAAGCUCUUUUGUCCGGGAAGAUAAUGACUGUACCGGAAGAAUAAGCCCCGGCUAACUUCGUG
This 431-nucleotide ribosomal RNA is filed under the name uncultured bacterium. RNAcentral describes it as "partial 16S ribosomal RNA". It matches the Rfam family "Bacterial small subunit ribosomal RNA", at positions 29 to 507 of the family's 1533-position model. The record is from RNAcentral.